GGUAUGUUAUUUAGCCCCACGAUAAGCCCCGGAAACUUAUUCGUGUUUUUAAAUAAAUC
Molecule: non-coding RNA, 59 nt
Organism: Bacillus smithii
Lineage: Bacteria; Bacillati; Bacillota; Bacilli; Caryophanales; Bacillaceae
Source: Rfam